Long non-coding RNA from Astatotilapia calliptera (eastern happy), 443 nucleotides. The record is from Ensembl. NCBI's taxonomy places the organism in Eukaryota, Metazoa, Chordata, Actinopteri, Cichliformes, Cichlidae.
UCCCUGCUCCUCUGGCUGCUGUUGUCCCUGUGGUUGGCGUACUUGUCAGAUCACGACAAAUUUUGCACUACAGGCCAGUUGACAGCGUGCAAUAACCCGGCCGAUUCAUUCAUCUUUACACUACCUCACACUCGACUCAACGGUCAGGUUUUUUUUGUUCUCCCGCGAUCAGCCCUGAUCAGCGCGAGAUGGCGAGCCACCCGACCACCGCUACGUUGCGGUCAGGUUUUUUUUGUUCUCCCGCGAUCAGCCCUGAUCAGCGCGAGAUGGCGAGCCACCCGACCACCGCUACGUUGCGGUAGGAAUUGUGAACCUAUGGACUGAAUCACAAAUUGUUAACACAUGACCUAUCACAGGUCCAUGGAACUAAACUAAAUCACAUACUGGACUACACCUCAUCCCACCUCCUUUUGGAACCUACUAAGCUGUUUUGUAUUGUCAAC